This 301-nucleotide ribosomal RNA is filed under the name uncultured bacterium. RNAcentral describes it as "partial 16S ribosomal RNA". It matches the Rfam family "Bacterial small subunit ribosomal RNA", at positions 509 to 807 of the family's 1533-position model. The record is from RNAcentral.
CAGUCACCGCGGUAACACGAACCGUGCGAACGUUAUUCGGAAUUACUGGGCUUAAAGCGCGUGUAGGCGGGCCGGCACGUCGGUCGCUGAAAUCCCCCGGCUCAACCAGGGAAGUGGCGCCGAUACGGCCGGCCUGGAGGGGGGUAGGGGGGCCUGGAACUUUCGGUGGAGCGGUGAAAUGCGUUGAGAUCGGAAGGAACGCCCGUGGCGAAAGCGAGGCCCUGGACCCUUUCUGACGCUGAGACGCGAAAGCCAGGGGAGCGAACGGGAUUAGAUACCCCAGUAGUCCCUGUCUCUUAUA